Long non-coding RNA from Neopelma chrysocephalum (saffron-crested tyrant-manakin), 778 nucleotides. RefSeq lists it as uncharacterized. The record is from RefSeq and is a predicted model, not a curated record. The transcript has 3 exons. Lineage: Eukaryota; Metazoa; Chordata; Aves; Passeriformes; Pipridae.
UCCUGUGGCAGUAGGUGAUCCCAUUAUGUUCUGCUUUCACAAAUAAAGUUUCAUCUCCAUUUCCUUCCAUCACUUCACAUGGAUGAGGUGGGGAUCUGGAGAUUCUCUGAAGAAGAGAAAGCAUCUGUCCAGGCCUGAGGUGCUACCUGAUGUCACAGUAGUUUUGGAACAGGCUUUGUUGGGGACACCUUAGCUCUGUUUGGUGUCCUUUUGUCUGUUGUGGAUCUUCUGGCUGCAGAAGGAACAUGCAGCCAUUUGGUUGCCGAUACUGAAAGAGGUCUAGGAGACAGCAGCUCCGUGCUACUGGAGGUGCUGCAGUGCCCAGGUCUCCAAAAAAGUGUUGGCCAUGCAGUAGCAGCUUGAGGCUGCACCUGAAGGCAGGGGAGUGGGGAGCAACAGCCGACAUCACGGUGGAAGGACUCGGACGACGUGGGCUGGGAGGCUGCAGGUCCCUGUCACCUUCCUCUGCCAUCAGACACUGUGUGCAGGAAAGGGUGGACCCUCAUUACCUGAGUGAUUGCAAGGAAACUUCUGCUUUCACUUCCUAAGUCAAGAUGAUGUUAAUAAUGUCACAUUCCUCGAGCACUUAUCUGUGUGCAUGUCAGUAAAUAUUAAACCUGGCGAGGAAUGAAUGACCUUCCUACUCCUCCUCCUUGCUCAACUCCCUUCGGAGCACAGCGCUGGUGGUGCACUGGGCUCAGGUUCAUGUCCUUCCCUGCCCUCUCCUACCCUGUGGGAGGACCAGGGGGCCGAGGUACAGAAGAAAAUACUGAUGCAG